This 988-nucleotide long non-coding RNA is filed under the name Callithrix jacchus (white-tufted-ear marmoset). Its description in RNAcentral is "lncRNA (ENSCJAG00000078191.1)". Lineage: Eukaryota; Metazoa; Chordata; Mammalia; Primates; Cebidae. The record is from RNAcentral.
GACCAUGAUAGUCUUGAUCUGUUGACCUCGUGAUCCACCCGCCUCGGCCUCCCAAAGUUCUGGGAUUACAGGUGUGAGCGACGCGCCCGGCCCCAAUGUGUAGUCUUUAUUUCUCACCACCCACCACACCCUUUUCCCAGAGUCCCCAAAGUCCAUUGUAUAAUUCUUAUGCUUUUGCAUACUCAUAGCUUAGCUCCUACAUAUGAGUGAGAAAAUACAAUGUUUGGUUUUCCAUUCCUGAGUUACUUCACUUAGAGUGAUAGUCUCCAAUCCAGGUUUCUGCAAAUCCCAUUAUUUCAUUAUUUUCUAUGGUUAAAUAGUAUUCCAUGGUGUGUGUGUGUGUGUGUGUGUGUGUGUGUGUGUGUGUGUAUCUAUUUAACAUGUAUAUAACUAUAAAUAUAUAGUAGUAUUUCAUGGUAUAAUAUGUAUAUCCAUAAAAUGAGAGGAUAUUCUGUAUCUCCUCAUUUAUUGAUGGGCAUUUGGGUUGGUUCCAUAUUUUUGCAAUUGCAAAUGGUGCUGCUAUAAACACGAGUGUGCAAGUAUCUUUUUUGUAAAAUGACUUCUUUUCCUCUGGGUAGAUAGACACCUAGAAGUAGGAUUAUUUUUUGUGCCGAUGGGAUCGUAGUAUGAUGCCUCGUCUGGUCUCACACUCCUGGCCUCAACUGAUCCUCCUGCCUCGCCUCAACAGAUCCUCCUGCCUUGACCUCCCAAAGCCCUCGGAUUACAGGCAUGAACCACCACAACUGGAUCGCCUUUACUCUCAAUCAAAUUGUUUAUGACAUGCAAUCAGAUAACUUUCAAGGUGAAGAAUUCAGUUCUUAAAUACACAGUGCUUGUUAACCUAUCUAGAAAAGGAAACGAAAGCUUCACAUGUGAGAUAAAUGCACUCAAAGAUUCCUCACAAGUAGCUCUUUGGAGCUUCAGAUGUGAAAUGGAUCAUUCCUCAAUCUGUAAUAGACCCUUCUGUGAAGCUCUUCAAUCAAACUAG